UGAUAGGUCCAUCUUUUUUCUUUACGAUGCAAAAACCGUAUUUCAAAAGCUGAACCCUCAGCGGUUUCCUAGGGCUGGCGUCGGUCUGCGGAGAACUUCUGAGGCCCGGCAGCCAAUCAUCCUUUUCCUGGCGCUCGAGUCAUGGUCUCCUCCCACCAUAUGCGGUUCCCACAGCCAAGCUUUGGGCCAUCUGUCUAAGGACAAUUCAAGUGCCAGGAGGAUGCAUCGUCUUAAAAGCAGGCAUCAGACUUUUUCAUGAGAGACAGAGACACAGAGGGAGAAGCAGGCUCCAUGCAGGGAGCCCGACAUGGGACUCAUCCUGGGUCUCCAGGAUCACACCCUGGGCUGAAGGCGGCGCUAAACCGCUGGGCCACCCAGGCUGCCCUAGACUUUGUUUUUUAAAGCAGUUCUAGAUUCACAGCAAAAUUGAAAAGAAGGAACAGAGAUUUCCCAUGUACUUUCUGUCCCUACAAAUGUGUGGCCUUCUCCAUUAUCACGGGAUAUAAAACUAGUUUUAAGGAUGCAAAUAUAUCUAGAGAAAUUAAAGAUGAUUUUAUCAACAAUGAAAAAUAAAGAGUGCUUCAGGUAGCCCAAUUUUAUUUUAUUUAAUGAUUUAUUUAUUUAUUUUAGAGGGGGGAGGGACAGAGGGAGAGAAUCUCUAAGCAGAUUCCCCACUGAACAUGGAGCUGGCUGUGGGGCUUGAUCCCACCACCCAUGAGAUCAUGACCUGAGCCAAACUAAAAGUCUGGCACUCAACUGCUGAGCUACCCAGGUGUCCCUUUUCUUAAGAUUUUAUUUAUUUAUUUGAAAGAGAGAGAGCACCAGCAGGGAGGAGGAGCAGAGGAAAAGGGAGAAGCAAGCUCACUGCUGAGCAGGGAACCCAACGUGGGGCUCAAACCCAGGAAGGACCCUGCAAUCAUGACCUAAGCCAAAAGCAGAUGCUUAACUGACUAAGCAACCUAGGCACAAGUGGUAGUUUAGUUUAUUAAAGAUAAUUACAAUAUAAAAUCUGAAACCAGUAGCACUGAGGUUUUCAUAUUCUAUUAUCUAAAAAACCAACAUUGGUCUACCUUGAACUUGAAUGUAUCUUUUUCUCACAUUAAUUUGUGACCUCACACAUUAGUCAUUUUGAAAAUGUUUCCCAGAGUUUUCCAGAUCUGACAAAUGUUGAUACCUUCUAUGAUCAUAAAUAUCAUAAUUUAUUAAUAUCUCCAUGGAUCUCAUCAGGAAACUCUUUAAGAAUUGGGAAGAUACCAAGCUCAUAGUGUCAGGUAAGUUUUUCAGAAUACUAAUUUUUGCUUGAAAACUGAACUAUUAUCAUUGAUAACAAGUAUCAGCACUUUUCCUUGAAGUAACAAUGUCACUUUGUUCAUUUCCUUUUUUGUCUUUAAAGAUUUUUUUUUUUAAUUUUUAAGUAAUCUCCACACCCAUUGUGGAGCUUGAACCUACAACUCUGAGAUCAAGAGUCACAUGUUCUACAGACAACCAGCCAGGUGCCCUCACUUCAUUCAUUUCUAAGAAAAUUCCAAAUACCCAAGUCUGAAUAAUCAUAUUUUUUCAGGCAGCUGUUCUUUGAAGUAGAAAUAAUAGUCUGUGGUGGCUACUUUAGCUCACAGUUCCAGUCAUUACACAAGUGUUUUUCUCAAGAUAAUCAUUGUCUUCAAUAUUCAGCAGAAGUGCUUUCUCAAAGUACUUGUCACGCAAAAUUAUUAAAAAGAUACGUACUCUAGAGUCAAGAUUUAAUAAACCUAAUAAUUGUUAUGUUUCAUCAAGGACGUUUCUAUACAGACUGGCAUUUUCUUUAUUGAGUAUGGCGGUGAAGAAUACAAUGACUAUUAGUACAGUUCGGUGCCACUAUCUCAUACUUGUUGAAACACCAGCAAUUUUAACCACCAUUGAUUGCUUUUGCACCAUUAUUAAAACAUCCACACAGCAAAAAAAAAUAAAAAGUAAAUAAAGUUUUAAUGUUACUAUGAAAAUACUUUUAACCUGGACACCUGGGUGGCUCAGUGGUUUAGUGCCGCCUUCAGCCCAGCACGUGAUCCUGGAGUCCCGGGAUCGAGUCCCACGUCGGGCUCUCUGUAUGGAGCCUGCUUCUCUCUCUCCCUGUUUCUUUGCCUCUCUCUCUGUGUCUCAUAAAUAAAUAAAUAAAAUCUUUUUAAAAAGAAAAAAAAAAAUACUUUUAACCAUGUAGACUCCCAGAAAGGGCAUUAGGAUUGCUUAGGAAUCCAUGGACCAUAAGAACUUCUUGGUAAACAGCUAGUGCUCUACUUCGUAAGUUCCCUAGGCUGCCGUAACAAAAUAUCACAUAGUAAUUGGCUUAACCAACAGAAAUUUAUUCUCCCACAGAUCUGGAGGCUAAAAGUCUACAAUCGAGAUAUCAGUAGAGCCAUGUUCCCACAGAUGUUUCUUCUAUCUUCUGGUGGCCCCAGGCCUUCCUUGACUUAUGGCAGCAUAACUCCAAUCUCUCUGUCCACCUGCACAUGCGUGGCCUUCUCUGUGUAUUUCUGUGUGCUCUCCUCAUUUUAUAAAGACAUGAGUCAUUGGAUUUAGGGCCCACUCUAAUCUAACAUGAAUUUGUAGGGGAGGAAAAAGUUUUCCUUGACCCUCUUAGGGUCCCUAGCUGGGUCUAUAACUUUUACGUGACCCAGGAGAACUCCAUAAGGAAAUAAAGAUAUAGAAACAUACCUGAGAUUUUUAUGCUAGAUUUGUGAAGAGCAGACAGUUGUAAAGGUAUCAUAAGUUAAAAAGAAUAAAUGUAGGGACGCCUGAGUGGCUCAGUGGUUGAACAUCUGCCUUUGGCUCAGGGCAUGAUCCUGGGAUCCGGGAUCAAGUCCCACAUCUGGCUCCUUGCAGGAAGCCUGCUUCUCCCUCUGCUGGGGUCUACGCCUCUCUCUGGGUCUCUCAUGAAUAAAUAAAUAAAACCUUUAAAAGAGAGAGAGAGAGAGAGAGAAUCAAUGUUGUAAAGUGGGGGAAACUCAGCAAAGCCUGUCUGUUCACAUUCUUCUUAGGGUCCCUUUGUUUUCCUUCAGAGAUAAGGAUACUCCUUUCCUCUGGGUGCAGGGAGGCCACCUCUCACAUGAGUGUUUUAUGAUCUGUUUCAGGGGAUGGGAGGAGGUGGUCAGGAUGACUUGACUGAUUCUAAGGUUUUCUCAAACUGUUUCAACUUAAAAUAGUCAGUAUGCUAGGGUGCCAUAUUUUGGGGUAAUGUGUCCUGAAUCCUAUCAACCUCACCUUAACUAAUUACAUCUGCAAAGACCCUGUUUUCAAAUAAGGUCACAUUCUGAGGUUCUGGGUGGACAUGACUUAAGGAGGACAGUACUCGACUACUUGACUACUAUACCCAUCAGUAUUCCCUGCAGGAAGGUACCCCCAUCCUGGAGCUGCUAUGAGUGUUGGCAGCUAAAAGUUCACAGCUGUCCUUUCUCUAGAACCAGAGAAUUGCCCUUGACAAAGAGAACUAUUUGAUCUAAGAAAGUGGUUACCCCCUCCCAGAGACCACUCACAGUUGGUCUUCUUGCCUCAAGGCAAUAAUACCUUUGUGGUGCAAGUCAUACAACAGAGGUCCCCUUGGGAUAAGGCUGAAUAAAGCUAGUCUCCAGCUGAGAUGACAAUCUGGCUUAACUCUUCCGCCUACACCAUACUACUUCCCUGACUGCCUUUCUUUUGAGAGCAUCAAGUAAUUCUUUUUUU
Molecule: long non-coding RNA, 3693 nt
Filed under: Canis lupus familiaris (dog)
Lineage: Eukaryota; Metazoa; Chordata; Mammalia; Carnivora; Canidae
Description: lncRNA (ENSCAFG00845016096.1)
Source: RNAcentral